Molecule: long non-coding RNA, 467 nt
Filed under: Bos taurus (domestic cattle)
Lineage: Eukaryota; Metazoa; Chordata; Mammalia; Artiodactyla; Bovidae
Description: long non-coding RNA NONBTAT012123
Source: RNAcentral
GGAGUGAAGGAAUGCUUAUUGGAUCCAGUUCGGGCAGUUCACGUGAAAACAGCAAUGUGGUUACUGUGAACAAGAUGAAAUGGUUGCAUUUUCUGAGAGCUGCAAUGUAAAAUGUUUCUGGAAAUUGGCCUUAUUGCCCAUUGAGAAUUUUAAUCAGGUAGAACUUAAACCAUGCAUCAGAACCACUAGCUCACUAGUAGUCCACGAGGUGGCAGUAUUACUUUGAAAACCAUGAGAAACCUGCUUUUUCAGUAGCCUUUUCUCUCAAUCAAGUUUGUGGUGCUGAGUCGUUGUAAGGUGAGUUCUCUCAGAAAACAAUGAAGAUAAUUGGUUAUUGUAAUGUUGACACAGUGGGUUCAGAAGUCAUCAAUAAUUAUUAGAUGCUAGCCAGAAAUGUGGAAACAAAACCUAACCAACACCCAUUUUUAAUUAAAGAUGGAACUUUUUGACAAUGUAGAAAAAUGGAA